Molecule: ribosomal RNA, 372 nt
Filed under: uncultured organism
Description: partial 16S ribosomal RNA
Rfam family: Bacterial small subunit ribosomal RNA
Source: RNAcentral
GUAGGUGGCAAGCGUUGUCCGGAAUUAUUGGGCGUAAAGCGCGCGCAGGCGGUUCUUUAAGUCUGAUGUGAAAGCCCACGGCUCAACCGUGGAGGGUCAUUGGAAACUGGAGAACUUGAGUACAGAAGAGGAAAGCGGAAUUCCACGUGUAGCGGUGAAAUGCGUAGAGAUGUGGAGGAACACCAGUGGCGAAGGCGGCUUUCUGGUCUGUAACUGACGCUGAGGCGCGAAAGCGUGGGGAGCAAACAGGGAUUAGAUACCCUGGUAGUCCACGCCGUAAACGAUGAGUGCUAAUGUUAGGGGGUUUCCGCCCCCUUAGUGCUGCAGCUAACGCAUUAAGCACUCCGCCUGGGGAGUACGGCCGCAAGGCUG